AGGAAAAGAAAGAUGCAGUAGAAAGGGACCAUCAAAAUAGGAAGGCCAAUCUUCCUAUCUACUCUCGAGCCCAGUAUAUCUUGAAAAAGUUAGAGAGAGCUGAGGAGUCCAAGAUUAUCUCCAUGGAAAUUUUAAAGAAAAGAAUUCGAGAACGAUUUCGAGGUCCUCACAGGCAAGAUGGAAGAACUAGCAUGUAUAUAAAACCACCAGGCUUUGAACAAAAU
This 224-nucleotide unclassified non-coding RNA is filed under the name Hevea brasiliensis (rubber tree). Lineage: Eukaryota; Viridiplantae; Streptophyta; Magnoliopsida; Malpighiales; Euphorbiaceae. The record is from RNAcentral.